GGGAAGUUAGCUUAACUGGAAAAGCAUUCGGUUGAAGCCCGAAGGAAGUGAGUUCAAGUCUUGCACUUCCCA
RNAcentral lists this transfer RNA (72 nucleotides) under Clostridium perfringens. Its description in RNAcentral is "tRNA-Phe". It matches the Rfam family "tRNA". From Rfam's summary of the family: Transfer RNA (tRNA) molecules are approximately 80 nucleotides in length. Their secondary structure includes four short double-helical elements and three loops (D, anti-codon, and T loops). Lineage: Bacteria; Bacillati; Bacillota; Clostridia; Eubacteriales; Clostridiaceae. The record is from RNAcentral.